UAAGGAAUAUUGGACAAUGGGCGGAAGCCUGAUCCAGCCAUGCCGCGUGAAGGACGAAGGCGCUCAGCGUUGUAAACUUCUUUUGGACGGGGACAAACCGCUCGACGCGUCGGGCGCUGAGGGUACCGUCAGAAUAAGCACCGGCUAACUCCGUGCCAGCAGCCGCGGUAAUACGGAGGGUGCGAGCGUUAUCCGGAAUCACUGGGUUUAAAGGGUGCGUAGGCGGCGAGAUAAGUCAGUUGUGAAAUUCCCCGGCUCAACCGGCGGGACUGCGAUUGAUACUGUUUUGCUUGAAUCGGGUUGAGGCAGGCGGAAUGUGGCAUGUAGCGGUGAAAUGCUUAGAUAUGCCAUAGAACACCGAUUGCGAAGGCAGCUUGCUGGGCCUUGAUUGACGCUGAGGCACGAAAGCGUGGGGAGCAAACAGG
This 425-nucleotide ribosomal RNA is filed under the name uncultured bacterium. Its description in RNAcentral is "bacterial SSU rRNA". It matches the Rfam family "Bacterial small subunit ribosomal RNA", at positions 355 to 776 of the family's 1533-position model. The record is from RNAcentral.